Molecule: long non-coding RNA, 906 nt
Organism: Sarcophilus harrisii (Tasmanian devil)
Lineage: Eukaryota; Metazoa; Chordata; Mammalia; Dasyuromorphia; Dasyuridae
Exons: 3
Source: RefSeq, a predicted model, not a curated record
CUCACCCCGGGUGGGUCUCCGUUCCCACGUGGGCGAGCCUGGGCUUCCAAGGCAGUGCCCGCUGCGUCUCGGAGGGACAGGAGUCUCGGGCGGGUGUGUCACUCCGAUUUCCUGCCGGCAGUGGAGGUGGGGAAGGAGGAGAAGGAGGAGGUGCUACUCGGCAGAAGGCAUGGAGGAGAAGUGGUUCCAAGCAGCAGAAAUCUCCCAAUUAGGGGACAAGAUGCUCUGGGGAUCAAGCAGAGUUAGACCCAAGAAAUGGAGAAACUGAAGCCCAGAGAAAUGGAGUGACUGAUUCAAUUAGGUCAAGUAGGUGGUGCUGCUAACUCCUGUACUGCUCAGAACAUAUAUGAAACAAUUAUGUUCAGAACUUGGUGCCAUAUUUUAGGAAGAACAUUGAAAAGCUGGUGAGCUUCAGAGUUAGACCAACCAGCAUAAUGAAGUGCCUCAUGUUCAGGCAUAUCCUCUCCCUUUCCCAUCCCCUCUCCUUUAAUAGAAUAUAAUAAGCUUAACAACAGAGAAUAUUUCAUAUUUGUCUUUGUAUUAUCAGGGUCUUGCAUUGUGCCUAACAAGCAUUUAAUAAAUGCUAAGUAAAUGAAGAGUGAAUAAUUAGUUGAAAACUGAGAUAUAUAACUUGGAGAAGAUACAGGAGGGACAUUAUUUAUAUCUCUAAAUAUUUAGAGGGCUGUUGCUUAGAAGAUGAACUAGAUAUAUUUAGUUUGGCCUCAUAAAGCAGAAAUAAGAAUGAAUAAGUAAACAUUGUAGAUAGGAAAAUUUAAGUUUGAUGUGAAAAAAAUCUCCCUAACCAUUAGAACUAUUCAGUUAGGUAGUAUAGUGGAUAGAGCACCAGUAUUGGAGACAGGACAUCUUGAAUUCAGUUUGAAUGUGACCCUGGGCAAGUUAUUUAAU